UACGGGGGGGGCAAGCGUUGUUCGGAAUUACUGGGCGUAAAGGGCGCGUAGGCGGCCAGUGCAAGUCAGUUGUGAAAUCUCCGAGCUUAACUCGGAAAGGUCAACUGAUACUGCUCGGCUAGAGUGCGGAAGGGGCAACUGGAAUUCUUGGUGUAGCGGUGAAAUGCGUAGAUAUCGAGAGGAACACCUGCGGCGAAGGCGGGUUGCUGGGCCGACACUGACGCUGAGGCGCGAAAGCUAGGGGAGCGAACGGG
RNAcentral lists this ribosomal RNA (254 nucleotides) under uncultured bacterium. Its description in RNAcentral is "partial 16S ribosomal RNA". It matches the Rfam family "Bacterial small subunit ribosomal RNA", at positions 524 to 776 of the family's 1533-position model. The record is from RNAcentral.